GACUAGUCUGAAGGUAGUGAGUUACCUCAAUUGAGUGUUAGCAGUCACAGAUCAAACCCCUUGUUCUACUCUUUCCACCUUCUCACUCCUGCACUCACGACAACA
This 105-nucleotide Y RNA is filed under the name Macaca mulatta (Rhesus monkey). RNAcentral's name for it is "Y RNA (ENSMMUG00000064771.1)". It matches the Rfam family "Y RNA". Rfam says of the family: Y RNAs are components of the Ro ribonucleoprotein particle (Ro RNP), in association with Ro60 and La proteins. The Y RNAs and Ro60 and La proteins are well conserved, but the function of the Ro RNP is not known. The record is from RNAcentral. Lineage: Eukaryota; Metazoa; Chordata; Mammalia; Primates; Cercopithecidae.